UUGGGGGCUGCGCAAAACAGCGAGCACACGGCGGGCGUCGACGGCGUGCUGUUCACUGCGCAGAACAAAGCAGCGAGCCGCGCGGAGGCGUUGGGGGCUGCUGCUCACGACGAGAAAAACUGGGCGCAGGAAACAGCAGGGGGAAACGCCGGAGCAAUGGAGAGCGCGCUCAAGAGGCCGACGGCGCUCUGCGCGAUGGUCCCUGGCUGGGGCGAGCAGGGCAUCCGAGGGAGGGAAGGGUGCUGUCCACGGCUGGGAGAACCUUGCGCGCACUGCCCCAAUGCCGAUCUGGAACAGAGAAGGAAGAAAGGAGGGCUCGACCAUCGAAGUUUGCUGGUCGGCCAUGGGGACGGGGGUGCGGCCUUGGAGCUCCGGCGUUCAAGGGAAGCAGCGAGAGGGAGUUGCAGACCGGAGCUCGAAUGGCAUCUAGCCAGCGCGCGCAGGGGGAGAUGGUGA
RNAcentral lists this unclassified non-coding RNA (456 nucleotides) under Zea mays. RNAcentral describes it as "misc RNA Zm00001eb382610". The record is from RNAcentral. Lineage: Eukaryota; Viridiplantae; Streptophyta; Magnoliopsida; Poales; Poaceae.